Wyeomyia smithii (pitcher-plant mosquito) is the source of this 367-nucleotide long non-coding RNA. RefSeq lists it as uncharacterized. NCBI's taxonomy places the organism in Eukaryota, Metazoa, Arthropoda, Insecta, Diptera, Culicidae. The record is from RefSeq and is a predicted model, not a curated record. The transcript is spliced from 2 exons.
AAAUGUCAGUGGGUUAAGGCGUAGAAAUGACAGAAAGAAAAGUGUUGGAGCAUAGAAGCAUAGAAAAAUUGUAAACAAACAGAUACUGUAAAAGCAGGAAGGUAAAAAAAGAUUCUGGCGUGGUUAAAGAUAGAAUUUACGGUAGAUUAGUAGAAAAUUUGAUAGUAAAAGUGAAGUUCGGAAAGAUAGAUCAGUUGGAAGUGAAAGAUAGUGUUGCAUCGUUGGUAAUAAUUCAGGCAGUUUAAGGUUGGGGAAAUCGCAUGCAAGGAAAAACUAGAUUUGUAAGCUAAAUUUAUUUGUUACAAUUCACCGAUUAAAUAAAACUAAUUCUAGUUGAAGCUGUUUAAAGUGAAACUGCUGUUCGAAA